RNAcentral lists this ribosomal RNA (561 nucleotides) under Vibrio sp. RSW-18. RNAcentral's name for it is "bacterial SSU rRNA". It matches the Rfam family "Bacterial small subunit ribosomal RNA", at positions 32 to 572 of the family's 1533-position model. Lineage: Bacteria; Pseudomonadati; Pseudomonadota; Gammaproteobacteria; Vibrionales; Vibrionaceae. The record is from RNAcentral.
AACGCUGGCGGCAGGCCUAACACAUGCAAGUCGAGCGGAAACGAGUUAUCUGAACCUUCGGGGAACGAUAACGGCGUCGAGCGGCGGACGGGUGAGUAAUGCCUAGGAAAUUGCCUUGAUGUGGGGGAUAACCAUUGGAAACGAUGGCUAAUACCGCAUAAUGCCUACGGGCCAAAGAGGGGGACCUUCGGGCCUCUCGCGUCAAGAUAUGCCUAGGUGGGAUUAGCUAGUUGGUGAGGUAAUGGCUCACCAAGGCGACGAUCCCUAGCUGGUCUGAGAGGAUGAUCAGCCACACUGGAACUGAGACACGGUCCAGACUCCUACGGGAGGCAGCAGUGGGGAAUAUUGCACAAUGGGCGAAAGCCUGAUGCAGCCAUGCCGCGUGUAUGAAGAAGGCCUUCGGGUUGUAAAGUACUUUCAGUUGUGAGGAAGGGGGUGUCGUUAAUAGCGGCAUCUCUUGACGUUAGCAACAGAAGAAGCACCGGCUAACUCCGUGCCAGCAGCCGCGGUAAUACGGAGGGUGCGAGCGUUAAUCGGAAUUACUGGGCGUAAAGCGCAUGC